Molecule: ribosomal RNA, 898 nt
Filed under: uncultured archaeon
Lineage: Archaea
Description: bacterial SSU rRNA
Rfam family: Archaeal small subunit ribosomal RNA
Source: RNAcentral
UUCUGGUUGAUCCCGCCGGACCUGACUGCUAUCGGAUUGAUACUAAGCCAUGCGAGUCAUUGUAGUAAUACAAGGCAGACGGCUCAGUAACGCGUAGUCAACCUAACCUAUGGACGGGAAUAACCUCGGGAAACUGAGUAUAAUGCCCGAUAGAACAUUAUGCCUGGAAUGGUUUAUGUUCCAAAUGAUUUAUCGCCGUAGGAUGGGACUGCGGCCUAUCAGUUUGUUGGUGAGGUAAUGGCCCACCAAGACUAUUACAGGUACGGGCUCUGAGAGGAGUAGCCCGGAGAUGGGUACUGAGACACGGACCCAGGCCCUAUGGGGCGCAGCAGGCGAGAAAACUUUGCAAUGUGCGAAAGCACGACAAGGUUAAUCCGAGUGGUUUCUGCUAAAGGAACCUUUUGUUAGUCCUAGAAACACUAACGAAUAAGGGGUGGGCAAGUUCUGGUGUCAGCCGCCGCGGUAAAACCAGCACCUCAAGUGGUCAGGAUGAUUAUUGGGCCUAAAGCAUCCGUAGCCGGCUCUAUAAGUUUUCGGUUAAAUCUGUACGCUCAACGUACAGGCUGCCGGGAAUACUGCAGAGCUAGGGAGUGGGAGAGGUAGACGGUACUCGGGAGGAAGGGGUAAAAUCCUUUGAUCUCUCGAUGACCACCUGUGGCGAAGGCGGUCUACCAGAACACGUCCGACGGUGAGGGAUGAAAGCUGGGGGAGCAAACCGGAUUAGAUACCCGGGUAGUCCCAGCUGUAAACUAUGCAAACUCAGUGAUGCAUUGACUUGUGGUCAAUGCAGUGCUGCAGGGAAGCCGUUAAGUUUGCCGCCUGGGAAGUACGUACGCAAGUAUGAAACUUAAAGGAAUUGGCGGGGGAGCACCACAAGGGGUGAAGCCUGCGGUUCAAU